This 465-nucleotide ribosomal RNA is filed under the name uncultured bacterium. Its description in RNAcentral is "partial 16S ribosomal RNA". It matches the Rfam family "Bacterial small subunit ribosomal RNA", at positions 28 to 507 of the family's 1533-position model. The record is from RNAcentral.
GACGAACGCUGGCGGCGUGCUUAACACAUGCAAGUCGAACGGAAAGGCCCCUUUGGGGGUACUCGAGUGGCGAACGGGUGAGUAACACGUGAGUAACCUGCCCUUGACUUCGGGAUAACUUCAGGAAACUGGGGCUAAUACCGGAUAGGAAUCCUUGCUGCAUGGUGGGGGUUGGAAAGCUUCGGCGGUUUUGGAUGGACUCGCGGCUUAUCAGCUUGUUGGUGGGGUAGUGGCUUACCAAGGCUUUGACGGGUAGCCGGCCUGAGAGGGCGACCGGCCACAGUGGGACUGAGAUACGGCCCAGACUCCGACGGGAGGCAGAAGUGGGGAAUAUUGCACAAUGGGCGGAAGCCUGAUGCAGAAACGCCGCGUGCGGGAUGACGGCCUUAGGGUUGGAAACCGCUUUCAGCAGGGGCGAAGCUUGUGGUGACGGUACCUGCAGAAGAAGCACCGGCUAACUACGUG